RNAcentral lists this unclassified non-coding RNA (378 nucleotides) under uncultured bacterium. RNAcentral's name for it is "contains 16S-23S intergenic spacer region". The record is from RNAcentral.
UCCCGGUUAACCCGGGCAGUCUCACUAGAGUCCCCGCCAUUACGCGUUGGCAACUAAUGAUAAGGGUUGCGCUCGUUGCGGGACUUAACCCAACACCUCACGGCACGAGCUGACGACAGCCAUGCAGCACCUCUGUAGCAGUUCUUGCGAAAAGACUUAUUUCUAAGCCGGUCUCCUACAGUUCAAGCCUGGGUAAGGUUCUUCGCGUUGCAUCGAAUUAAACCACAUGCUCCACUGCUUGUGCGGGCCCCCGUCAAUUCUUUUGAGUUUCAGCCUUGCGACUGUACUUCCCAGGCGGCACACUUAACGCGUUAGCUCCGGCACAGCCAGGGUUGAGCCUAGCUACACCAAGUGUGCAUCGUUUACAGCUGGGACUAC